Molecule: ribosomal RNA, 300 nt
Filed under: uncultured Glissomonadida
Lineage: Eukaryota; Cercozoa; Glissomonadida
Description: bacterial SSU rRNA
Rfam family: Eukaryotic small subunit ribosomal RNA (bases 93-300)
Source: RNAcentral
GACUUCUGGUUUAAUGCACCUGGUUAGGCUUGUGAGUGCCGGCGCGCGUUUACCAUCCUUCUGGGAACGGGUCUACCCUUAACUGGGCUGGAUUCGGGAUCCAGAUCAUUUACUUUGAAAAAAUUAGAGUGUUUAAAGCAGGCUAUUGCUAUGAAUACAUUAGCAUGGAAAAGAAGCGAGGACUUCGGUUCUAUUUUGUUGGUUUCUUUAACUGAAGUAAUGAUAGUUGGGGGUGCUAGUAUUGGCCGGUCAGAGGUGAAAUUCUUGGAUUCGGUCAAGACUAACUUAUGCGAAAGCAUU